This 105-nucleotide non-coding RNA is filed under the name Deltaproteobacteria bacterium. Its description in RNAcentral is "TPP sequence". It matches the Rfam family "TPP riboswitch aptamer (THI element)". Rfam says of the family: Vitamin B(1) in its active form thiamin pyrophosphate (TPP) is an essential coenzyme that is synthesised by coupling of pyrimidine and thiazole moieties in bacteria. The record is from RNAcentral. Lineage: Bacteria; Pseudomonadati; Myxococcota; Myxococcia.
CUUAUACGCGAGGGGAGUCCGAACGGACUGAGAGUCUUCAUAACGAAGAGACCCUAACGACCUGAUCUGGGUAAUGCCAGCGUAGGGAAGCGGCGGAAGUCUUUU